GAUGAACGCUGGCGGCGUGCCUAAUACAUGCAAGUCGAGCGAACAGACGAGGAGCUUGCUCCUCUGACGUUAGCGGCGGACGGGUGAGUAACACGUGGAUAACCUACCUAUAAGACUGGGAUAACUUCGGGAAACCGGAGCUAAUACCGGAUAAUAUAUUGAACCGCAUGGUUCAAUAGUGAAAGACGGUUUUGCUGUCACUUAUAGAUGGAUCCGCGCCGCAUUAGCUAGUUGGUAAGGUAACGGCUUACCAAGGCAACGAUGCGUAGCCGACCUGAGAGGGUGAUCGGCCACACUGGAACGGAGACAGGGUCCAGACUCCGACGGGAGGCAGCAGUGGGGAAUCUUCCGCAAUGGGCGAAAGCCUGACGGAGCAACGCCGCGUGAGUGAUGAAGGUCUUCGGAUCGUAAAACUCUGUUAUUAGGGAAAAACAAAUGUGUAAGUAACAAUGCACGUCUUGACGGUACCUAAUCAGAAAGCCACGGCUAACUACGUG
This 497-nucleotide ribosomal RNA is filed under the name uncultured bacterium. Its description in RNAcentral is "partial 16S ribosomal RNA". It matches the Rfam family "Bacterial small subunit ribosomal RNA", at positions 28 to 507 of the family's 1533-position model. The record is from RNAcentral.